AUCGCUUCUCGGCCUUUUGGCUAAGAUCAAGUGUAGUAUCAAUGAAGCUUUCCCUGAUCACUCCAGAAGCAGAAUUAAUUUUGGUCUUCUUUGCACUUUGCUUCUACUUCUGUAGUUGUAUUCUGCUGUUGUAUCACACUCAAAUCUCCUCUCAUUCAUGAAAUUGAGAUCUUAUG
RNAcentral lists this small nuclear RNA (176 nucleotides) under Suricata suricatta (meerkat). RNAcentral's name for it is "U2 spliceosomal RNA (ENSSSUG00005020492.1)". It matches the Rfam family "U2 spliceosomal RNA". Rfam says of the family: U2 is a small nuclear RNA (snRNA) component of the spliceosome (involved in pre-mRNA splicing). Complementary binding between U2 snRNA (in an area lying towards the 5' end but 3' to hairpin I) and the branchpoint sequence (BPS) of the intron results the bulging out of an unpaired adenosine, on the BPS, which initiates a nucleophilic attack at the intronic 5' splice site, thus starting the first of two transesterification reactions that mediate splicing. The record is from Rfam by way of RNAcentral. Lineage: Eukaryota; Metazoa; Chordata; Mammalia; Carnivora; Herpestidae.